CCUAAUACAUGCAAGUCGAGCGGCCACUUCGGGGGCAGCGGCGGACGGGUGAGUAACGCGUGGGAAUAUGCCCUUUGGUACGGAACAACUGAGGGAAACUUCAGCUAAUACCGUAUGUGCCCUUCGGGGGAAAGAUUUAUCGCCAUUGGAGUAGCCCGCGUUGGAUUAGCUAGUUGGUGGGGUAAAGGCCCACCAAGGCGACGAUCCAUAGCUGGUCUGAGAGGAUGAUCAGCCACACUGGGACUGAGACACGGCCCAGACUCCUACGGGAGGCAGCAGUGGGGAAUCUUGCGCAAUGGGCGAAAGCCUGACGCAGCCAUGCCGCGUGAAUGAUGAAGGUCUUAGGAUUGUAAAAUUCUUUCACCGGGGAAGAUAAUGACGGUACCCGGAGAAGAAGCCCCGGCU
This 405-nucleotide ribosomal RNA is filed under the name grassland soil clone saf3_012. RNAcentral's name for it is "bacterial SSU rRNA". It matches the Rfam family "Bacterial small subunit ribosomal RNA", at positions 47 to 498 of the family's 1533-position model. The record is from RNAcentral.